GUGAGGAAUAUUGCGCAAUGGGGGCAACCCUGACGCAGCGACGCCGCGUGAGUGAGGAAGGCCUUCGGGUCGUAAAGCUCUGUCAAGAGGGAAGAAGUGCAUGGUGGUUAAUAUCUGUCAUGUUUGACGGUACCUCUAAAGGAAGCACCGGCUAACUCCGUGCCAGCAGCCGCGGUAAUACGGAGGGUGCAAGCGUUGUUCGGAAUCACUGGGCGUAAAGGGCGCGCAGGCGGCCUGAUCAGUCAGAUGUGAAAGCCCACGGCUUAACUGUGGAAGUGCAUUUGAAACUGUCAGGCUUGAGUACCAGAGGGGAAAGUGGAAUUCCCGGUGUAGAGGUGAAAUUCGUAGAUAUCGGGAGGAAUACCGGUGGCGAAGGCGACUUUCUGGCUGGAUACUGACGCUGAGGCGCGAAAGCGUGGGGAGCAAACAGGAUUAGAAACCCUAGUAGUCC
This 451-nucleotide ribosomal RNA is filed under the name uncultured bacterium. RNAcentral describes it as "bacterial SSU rRNA". It matches the Rfam family "Bacterial small subunit ribosomal RNA", at positions 354 to 796 of the family's 1533-position model. The record is from RNAcentral.